Molecule: transfer RNA, 73 nt
Filed under: Proteus mirabilis
Lineage: Bacteria; Pseudomonadati; Pseudomonadota; Gammaproteobacteria; Enterobacterales; Morganellaceae
Also listed under: 1 other name
Description: tRNA-Ala
Rfam family: tRNA
About the family: Transfer RNA (tRNA) molecules are approximately 80 nucleotides in length. Their secondary structure includes four short double-helical elements and three loops (D, anti-codon, and T loops).
Source: RNAcentral
GGGACUAUAGCUCAGCUGGGAGAGCGCCUGCCUUGCACGCAGGAGGUCAGCGGUUCGAUCCCGCUUAGCUCCA